GAUGAACGCUGGCGGCGUGCCUAAUACAUGCAAGUCGAGCGAACAGACGAGGAGCUUGCUCCUCUGACGUUAGCGGCGGACGGGUGAGUAACACGUGGAUAACCUACCUAUAAGACUGAGAUAACUUCGGGAAACCGGAGCUAAUACCGGAUAAUAUAUUGAACCGCAGGGUUCAAUAGUGAAAUACGGUUUUGCUGGCACUUAUAGAUGGAUCCGCGCCGCAUUAGGUAGUUGGUAAGGUAACGGCUUACCAAGGGGACGAUGCGUAGCCGACCUGAGAGGGUGAUCGGCCACCCUGGAACUGAGACACGGUCCAGACUCCUACGGGAGGCAGCAGUAGGGAAUCUUCCGCAGAGGGCGAGAGCCUGACGGAGCAACGGCGCGUGAGUGAUGAAGGUCUUCGGAUCGUAAAACUCUGUUAUUAGGGAAGAACAAAUGUGUAAGUAACUAUGCACGUCUUGACGGUACCUAAUCAGAAAGCCACGGCUAACUACGUG
RNAcentral lists this ribosomal RNA (497 nucleotides) under uncultured bacterium. Its description in RNAcentral is "partial 16S ribosomal RNA". It matches the Rfam family "Bacterial small subunit ribosomal RNA", at positions 28 to 507 of the family's 1533-position model. The record is from RNAcentral.